Molecule: ribosomal RNA, 537 nt
Filed under: uncultured archaeon
Lineage: Archaea
Description: bacterial SSU rRNA
Rfam family: Bacterial small subunit ribosomal RNA
Source: RNAcentral
AGCCGCGGUAAGACGUAGGGCGCGAGCGUUGUCCGGAUUUAUUGGGCGUAAAGAGCUCGUAGGCGGCUUGUCGCGUCGACCGUGAAAACCUGUGGCUUAACCAUAGGCUUGCGGUCGAUACGGGCAGGCUAGAGUGCGGCAGGGGAGACUGGAAUUCCUGGUGUAGCGGUGAAAUGCGCAGAUAUCAGGAGGAACACCGGUGGCGAAGGCGGGUCUCUGGGCCGCUACUGACGCUGAGGAGCGAAAGCGUGGGGAGCGAACAGGAUUAGAUACCCUGGUAGUCCACGCUGUAAACGUUGGGCGCUAGGUGUGGGGAGCCUCUCCGGUUCUCCGUGCCGUAGCUAACGCAUUAAGCGCCCCGCCUGGGGAGUACGGUCGCAAGGCUAAAACUCAAAGGAAUUGACGGGGGCCCGCACAAGCGGCGGAGCAUGCGGAUUAAUUCGAUGCAACGCGAAGAACCUUACCUGGGCUUGACAUGGACGGAAAACCGGCAGAGAUGUCGGGUCCUUCGGGGCCGUCCACAGGUGGUGCAUGGCC